Molecule: non-coding RNA, 3894 nt
Organism: Salmo salar (Atlantic salmon)
Lineage: Eukaryota; Metazoa; Chordata; Actinopteri; Salmoniformes; Salmonidae
Source: RefSeq, a predicted model, not a curated record
CACUGAAGGGCUGUCAUUUCCCGGACACUAUCCGAGGCUUGAUACUGACCACCGUUCUAACUUUUAGGAGCGAUUACAACAACUCCAGGAUGGAAGUGGCCCUGCUAUCGUAUGCAAAUACGUCCGCUGACGUAGUUGAUCAUGUGGUUUUUGGCGUAGAUCCCCCUGCGAACGCGGAUUUUUUUCGGCUGUUGUCUGGCGGAUUCGGUCGAAUCUGUAGAAUAAAUCGUCGUAUUCGGUUGUUAUCGUGUUGAAAGACCCGUUUUGGACCCCGUUUACCGGUGCUCGGCAUCACAGCGCAUCAUACGUGGUGGACAGAUUGGGUGAUCUGGGAUGAAGUCUCAUGAAUUCCCUCAUUGGAGCUGACAUUAACAGUCAGCUGGAACAACAAGUGCAUAUUCUUCACAAGACAAACAUCCCCUACAACGUCCGUCUAACAGUCCCAGGUGACCUACGCACGCCAUGGCCAGCCGAAGGAAGACCACGACCCCUUGUAGAGCUGAUGCUGUUUUUAGAGGUGAUGACAUGAUGGGGCAAGAGGAUCCAGGUGAGAUGGAGGUGGAGGUAUCGGCGAAUGACAAAAGCACAGUGGUGAAUGGAUCCACAGAGAUGCUUCCUGGGGAGGACUGGAGCUCUGGGACAGAGCCUAGUGGUUCACGUCAGGAGUCGCCGGCCCCUGAGAAACCUAAUGCUGUGGAUUCAAGGCCUCAGAGGAAGCAGCAGGGAGGCUAUGAAUGCAAGUACUGUCCGUUCUCUACGCAGAACCUGAAUGAGUUCAAGGAACACGUGGACUCCAAUCACCCCAAUGUCAUUCUCAACCCGCUCUACCUGUGUGCUGUGUGCAACUUCAACACAAAGAAGUUUGACACCUUGACAGAGCACAAUGAGAGGUGUCAUCCAGGGGAGAGCAACUUUAAGUUCAAGAGAAUCAAACUGAACAAUCAGACCAUCCUAGAGCAGUCGAUAGAAGGAGCAAGCAACGCUGUCGUCUGUGAUUCAACCAACGGCAUUCUGACUGGAGAAGACUUUGCCACUUUCCCCCUGAGCAAAUCCACCACAGUGAAGAUUAGUAAGCCAAAAACGGACAACAAACGGUUAUUCACAGAAAGUCAACCGGACAGACUCAACCCCGAGCUCCCCAGAAAGCAGAUCGCCGCCGUGAAUGUGAACGGGACCGUGAUCAUCCCAGAAGCGACCCUAAAAGAUAGCAUCUCUCAUAUCAUGCCUUCUCUUCAGCGCCCGCCUAACUACAACUUAGUACCAAAAAUCGCUGUCCCUUUGAACACCUCUAAGUACAACCCUUCACUGGACAGUAACCUGACACUCAUCACAUCCUUCACCAAGUUCCCGUACCCGACCCAAGCGGAGCUGUCCUGGCUUACCGCUGCCUCGAAGCACCCCGAGGAACAGAUCAAGGUGUGGUUCACCCUCCAGAGGCUGAAGCAAGGCAUCAGCUGGUCCCCUGAAGAGGUGGAAGAAGCUCGGAAGAAGAUGUUCAACGGUACCAUCCAGUCAGUCCCACAGACCACCUUCACCGUGCUGAGCGGUGCCCAGAUGGCUCAGUCCACCAAAGGACAACAGUCCCUAGUUCAAUCCGUCCCCUUCAACCUCCUGGGACAGACCAGUUAUGUGUUGACGCCCGUUGCAAACGGCUCAGCUGUCAGUUGUUCUCCCAUCACACUAACCAUGGCAAACCAGGUCGUGCAGUCAGUAAAGCGACCCUUGGCAGCUCCAGUAGUGGCCGCUUCAGAGAUCAAACGUCCCUCCAUAAUCCAGACGAUUCAGGCACCUAGACUGGUGGCUUCGCCUAAACCCAGCUUCACUUCAGACUCCGAUAAAACCCCGGACCAGAUUGCUGUACUGAAAGCUAGUUACACCCAGUGCCAGUUCCCUGAAGAGGAGGAAGUGUACCGUCUCAUUGAGUCCACCGGCCUCUCUAGAGGAGAAAUCAAGAAGUGGUUCAGCGAGCAACGACUCCUCAAUCACAAGGUGGCGCCACAGGUGAUCAAGAUUGAGCCCCAGGCAUCGAAAGACAGUCAGCCCAAAAAGGCUGUCCCCACCCAGUUUCCUCUCCUGGAGAGGCUCAAAGGCAAAUCCUCUGAGCAGCUCAAGAUGCUAGAGGAGAGUUUUCAGAGGACCAGCUCCCCCACUGAAAUUGACGUUGACAACCUCGUUGUGGACACAAGGCUCUCCAAGACUGAGAUCGACUGCUGGUUCUCAGAGCGCAGAGCGUUGCGGGACAACUUGGAGCAAGCCCUGGCAAACUCCAUGGGUCCUAAGAGCCUUGAGGAGCAACGAGGGAUACUAAAUAGUGUUUACGAACAGGACAGCAAAGUCCGGUGCUCACCUCUUCCCAUUGUCACCACUUCCACCAGUCCUGAGCCAAUCGAUAGGAAAUCCCUAGGGCUUCUCAAAGAGGUGUUCACCCAGACCCAGUGGCCGUCGCCAGAGGAGUACAGCCAGCUGGAGGGACAGACUGGUUUGUCUCGUACAGAGAUUGUCCGCUGGUUCAAGGAAAACCGAUCCGCCCUGAAGAAUGGAACCUUGGACUGGAUGGAACAGUUCCAGAAAGUCAACGGCAAAGCAGAACAGAAUGGUCAGAGCUCGUCAGGGAUUACAGAACGACCCCCAAGCAGCAUUCUCCAGCAGCACUUCACAGAAGCCAAGACGACACUGCUUUCAGCAGAAGACGCGAAAAGCUUCCAUUGCAGUCGAAACUCAUCAACCAGGACAUAGUCCAGUGGUUUACCAGUAAACUGGGCCAGAGUAUGACAGACAUCAGCAGGGGCAGGGACCAACAUGGACAGGCCAACGUGGACAGAAGCAGGUGGGUGAAGGUGACCAUGGCUGUAGGGGACGAGACUAAAGGUGCUUUGGAGAACCAGAAGAUCGGAUCAGAAGCAGAGGUGCUGAUGGGAGACCAACCUGGUCGGGUGACUGGAUGAAAAGAGCAUGAGGAUACUGAGUUUCUCAAGCAGAAGAUUCUCAAGAUUGUUGAAUCUGGAACCAAUGAUUUCCUACCUGGCCUGUGACAUCAGCACAGUGGACAGUAGAGUCCACUCCAAACACUGACUGGCCAGACCAUUGAGUGCCAAAGCUGGACUUGAUGCAUUAUUAUUAUUACACUUAAUAAAAAAGGGCCCUUGUAAAUAUUUUUCUGUAUUGCAAAAGCUUUGUAAACAUUUUCGGGGUUGCUGGUUUUUACAUUUCUAACAUGAGUCAAUAACCCCUAAAAGAGGAAUGUUUGGGUUUUUAUGACGGUAAUUAUAAGCCAAUUCAUCAGGGUUUUUUUUAACAAAACGUUUAGUGACUGACAGCUGGUCAUAGAUGGCACUUAUUUCAAGUGGAUAGACAAGUAACACUUCUGAUCUGAUAACCAGUGAGUUCAUCCAUUGGACUAAAGGGUUUAUAGUGGUUCUCUAGCAGACCAUAGAAUCACCUAGCCUGGGUACCAGAUGUUUGGCAUAUGACAAGGAGUGGAAUGAUGGCACAAACAGGUCUCCUACCCAGGCUAAGAAUCCCAUACUUACAUUACAAUAACAGUUGUCCCCCCUCUCUCAUGCUGAAUGCUACCGCUGCUGAGACGACAGUCAGCCACAGAAUGGACAUGAAUAAAACAAGAAAAUGCACUGUACAUGUUUUUUGUAGUUCAGUCUCAUUUUGAAUUGCAGCGUCCGUAACUGGUCUUUUCUCGUGUUGGCUUUCUAGAUAUCCAUAGAUAUCCUAGGUGUUAGGCUCAAUUUCAAUGGCUCGCUCCUUGAGUUUCAUGCCUCCUAUUAGUGAAUCAUGUUCAUACAUGUAUCUGGAAUACUGUACUGCUACCAAGAAUCUCUUUGCUUGAUUUUUUUUUUUGAAAUCCGUCUGCUGUAACUCAAUAAAACACAACCAACUGAA